CUUGCUGCUGCCAUAUAGGAAGUGCCUUUCACCUCCCAAAGUGAUUCUGAGGCCUCCCCAGCCAUGUGGAACUGUAAGUCCAAUUAAACCUCUUUUUCUUCCCAGUCUCAGGUAUGUCUUUAUCAGCAGCGUGACAAUGGACUAAUACAAUGCCUUACUCAAGAUUGCAGAGCUAGUGCCAGUGUUGAAACCUGAGCAAUCUCACACCAAAUCCAGCUCAGGGAGAUUUACUAACUUAUCCAAGCAACUCUGGGUACAGUCAUUAUUUGAUUCCACUAUCACAGGCAGCUUUUUACUGUUGUGAAGUUCAACUGAGACACAGAGACCCAGAAGAGCAUUCAAGAGACUGCUAUAAUCCAGAACAUAGCACUUUAAGGCUUAUCCACUGGGAUCCUAGAACCUUUCAAAUGCUCCACUCCAUAUCCCAGCUCUAUUUCUGGACAGCAAGCCUGCUCUCCCCAAAUGGAGCUUUCACCUCCUCCCUGGGCCUUGAUCCCAAUACACAGAGGGUCAGAUGAGGUUCUGCAGACCAGAACAUUACCUCACAGUGACUUCCAGGAGGCAGGUCUCUUCGCCCCACUAGGGAGGAGAGGCCCCACUGCCCCUGCACCUGCAGCCAGGCAAGAGGAAGUUUCUUCUUUUUAAAAUCCCUCCUUGUUUCCAUAAAUCUCAGGCCUCUUAACCUUCCAAGCUCUGAAUAAAGGUACAGUGUUUCUUCUCCACAAACAGCAUACUGUGCCCCACUUCUAUCAAUGCAAGGGUCACCCAGUGCCCGUUGAAAACAGCCUUCCCAUUGAGAAUGUUCACAUUGCUUACUUUCCCUGUGGUUCUGAAUCUUCUCUCCUUGUCCAUUCAAAGUUCCAGUGAAGGUGCUGCAUUGAUAACAACUUUAGCCUCUCCAGUGUUCACAAUGGAAGGCCAGGAGAGAGAUUAUCCACAGCCCCGGGGGAAUUCUGAAGAUGGUGGGAAUGGGGUGGACCCCUGGGGCCCCAGCCGUCAGUGAGCAGCCCUGCAGAUUUAACCCCAAUAAUAUUUGAAGUCCUACUGAAGUGCCAUGUCAAAGGCAUUACAGUAGCUCUGAAGAAAAAGUAAAAUACCUUCUGAAACAACUCUGGGAAGAAGCUCACCACCCGGCCACGAUACCCACUUCUUGCUGCCAAGAAGCUUCUAGCUACACGGUUUUUCCUUCCACCCCACAGUGCAGUGGAAACAAGACCCAAGCUCUUCUCAAGGAGUAAGCACAGGACAAGUUUCCUGCUAAGUGGUCCUAAGUCAACAAGGCCAUCUGAUAGGAAUUUGAGGAGUAGUGAAUUUUAUAGGAAUAGAGGGGAAAGGACUCUUUUUCCAUGUAGGCUUCUCUUGGAGUGGGGAGAUUAGGAAAUCUCCAUGAUAUAAAAUGAUGAAAGUUCGAAUCAUUGUCACCCUACCGGAAAGACUCCAAUUUGACCUUAGUGCUUAAUCCCUUUAGUUUGAAGUGUAGCUUAAAAGUAUUUAAAUAAAAUACAGCUGCCCCCAAACUGUGAGACUGUGAGUGGGAAGGGACAUGACUGUGUACUUGGAGACCUCAGGUAUGUUGGGGGUCGGGGGCAGCCACCGGGACGGUUAGAAAACCCAAAUGAGUCUUCUAACACUCAUUUACCCAAUUUAAAGAGAACAUUUUGACAAUGUUGUGCAAAUUUUUUUGCUGCCCACUUUUAGAAACUAU
This 1705-nucleotide long non-coding RNA is filed under the name Homo sapiens (human). Its description in RNAcentral is "non-protein coding lnc-EFCAB1-4:5". The record is from RNAcentral. Lineage: Eukaryota; Metazoa; Chordata; Mammalia; Primates; Hominidae.